AGAAUUGUUCAUAGAACAAUCUUUCCAGUCGAGUCCAAUCAUGGAUGGAAUUUGCUGGCAACAUGGUGAACCACGUAGAGGCAUUCUUUUUAAGGGAGCUUGAGAAGUAUUUAAUCCUUAGGUUCUCAUUAUUAUCAAUUUCCCCUGCUUCAAUUAGGUACCUCUCCACAUGUUCGACAAUGGACUCAUUAGUGUCCCGAAAAAACAUAGUAAACUUGGGGACUUUCCACCUAGGGGGUAAUUCUGAUUG
This 250-nucleotide long non-coding RNA is filed under the name Lathyrus oleraceus (garden pea). RNAcentral's name for it is "Pisum sativum (pea) long non-coding RNA (PSAT_LNC022241)". The record is from RNAcentral. Lineage: Eukaryota; Viridiplantae; Streptophyta; Magnoliopsida; Fabales; Fabaceae.